UCUCCGUAGGUGAACCUGCGGAGGGAUCAUUACUGAGUGAGGGCUCACGCCCGACCUCCAACCCUUUGUGAACACAUUUUGUUGCUUCGGGGGCGACCCUGCCGGCACUCGGUCGCCGGGCGCCACCGAAGGUCUCCCAACACUGCAUCUUUGAGUCGAAGUUUAAAACAAAUUAAACAAAACUUUCAACAACGGAUCUCUUGGUUCUGGCAUCGAUGAAGAACGCAGC
RNAcentral lists this unclassified non-coding RNA (229 nucleotides) under uncultured fungus. RNAcentral's name for it is "sequence contains ITS1, 5.8S rRNA gene". The stretch from base 181 to 229 matches the Rfam family "5.8S ribosomal RNA", at positions 1 to 49 of the family's 154-position model. The record is from RNAcentral. Lineage: Eukaryota; Fungi.